GACGAACGCUGGCGGCGUGCUUAACACAUGCAAGUCGAACGGAAAGGCUCUGCUUUUGUGGGGUGCUCGAGAGGCGAACGGGUGAGUAUCACGUGAGUAACCUGCCCUUGACUUUGGGAUAACUUCAGGAAACUGGGGCUAAUACCGGAUAGGAGCUCCUGCUGCAUGGUGGGGGUUGGAAAGUUUCGGCGGUUGGGGAUGGACUCGCGGCUUAUCAGCUUGUUGGUGGGGUAGUGGCUUACCAAGGCUUUGACGGGUAGCCGGCCUGAGAGGGUGACCGGCCACAUUGGGACUGAGAUGCGGCCCAGACUCCUACGGGAGGCAGAAGUGGGGAAUAUUGCACGAUGGGCGGAGGCCUGAUGCAGCAACGCCGCGUGCGGGAUGACGGCCUUCGGGUUGUAAACCGCUUUCGCCUGUGACGAAGCGUGAGUGACGGUAAUGGGUAAGGAAGCACCGGCUAACUACGUG
Molecule: ribosomal RNA, 468 nt
Filed under: uncultured bacterium
Lineage: Bacteria
Description: partial 16S ribosomal RNA
Rfam family: Bacterial small subunit ribosomal RNA
Source: RNAcentral